Molecule: long non-coding RNA, 1217 nt
Organism: Mauremys reevesii (Reeves's turtle)
Lineage: Eukaryota; Metazoa; Chordata; Testudines; Geoemydidae
Exons: 7
Source: RefSeq, a predicted model, not a curated record
CUUUAUUGUCGUACUUAGCAGAGCUGGUUCUAACCAGCCUUGUGGCAUUGCAUCCUUGGUUCAUGAAGAGUUCUGCAUUAACUCUUCAGUGGUCACUGUUGUAUCCAUUGUACUCAUCAUAGGACAAAAUUAGUUUCCUUCAGACUUUCGUGGAGCUAACUGAAGUGUUCUUCACCUUUGUCUCCAGAUCCAACAACCAAUUUGUACUUCUAAGACCAAUAUUGUGUCCUGUUUUUUUAUAGAAAGACAAAUGUGAAGAUUUAUGGGCUUGAUGCAGCAAUCUGACACACAAGCCACUGCAAGUAUACAGCUCAACAAGUAAUGCCAAGGAGUCCCAGUGAUGCACCAGGAUACCUACCACUGCAUAUGUCAUUACAGUUCUUGAAGAAAAAUGGACAACAAGCCUUGACUAAGCUGUGGUUAUACUUUUGUGCAACUUUCACAGGGUAGCUAUCCCCUGUGAGUAGACUGGAUUCACUGCCCCUGUAUCAGAGCAGGUGAGACCAAUCCAGACAAUUAAAAGGGGCUUGGCUACACCUGAGCCUAUAAAGGGCUAUUAGAGGCAGCAAGUGAUAGGGCUAGUUUGUAUCUGGGAAAGGGAAGUCAGGGUUGAGCUGUGAUGAGGGCCUAGAGUAAGGGCCAGGUGUUUAGGGAGGCAGCCCUAGUGCAACUGCUCCAGGAAGGGACUAGAGCUGAUAGGAACUGGGAAGGUUCCAGGAGCAGGAUGCAGGAGGCCCCUGGGAUGGGUGGCCCUGAAGCCUGAAAGCAAAGAAGAAACUCGCAUGGUGGGGCAGGACUACCACAGUGAUAGACAAGAGUGUCGACAUUGCUGUGAUGCACAUGAGAAGACUGGGGAGUUGAUGGCAAGGAGCACCACUUGACCGCCUCAGUAACAGCAGCAUCAAUUCCUUAAGUUCCUCAAGAUAUAUAGCUCUCCCUUGGCUGUGCAGCCCAAGAGCAAGAGGGGAGGAAGUAGAGGAAGAAGCAUAGGAACAUCAAACAUGCAAUCCUGAAUGAGAUCAGAAGUCCAUCUACUCAGUAUCCUGUCUCUGACCAUGGCAAGUAUCCUAUACUUCAGAGGAAGAUGGGAAGACACAGAUCAUGAAAAAGAAGAAAGCCGUUAAGUGAGAAUCCACCCAUUACUUGUCAGAGGCAGCUUUGUCCACACAUAAUGAAAACUAAGCUUACCCCUCAAACAAUCUAGUUAUUAAUAGGCC